This 498-nucleotide ribosomal RNA is filed under the name uncultured bacterium. RNAcentral's name for it is "partial 16S ribosomal RNA". It matches the Rfam family "Bacterial small subunit ribosomal RNA", at positions 355 to 853 of the family's 1533-position model. The record is from RNAcentral.
UAAGGAAUAUUGGUCAAUGGACGCAAGUCUGAACCAGCCAUGCCGCGUGAAGGAUUAAGGUCCUCUGGAUUGUAAACUUCUUUUAUCUGGGACGAAAAAAGGCGAUUCUUCGUCACUUGACGGUACCAGAUGAAUAAGCACCGGCUAACUCCGUGCCAGCAGCCGCGGUAAUACGGAGGGUGCAAGCGUUAUCCGGAUUCACUGGGUUUAAAGGGUGCGUAGGCGGGCAGGUAAGUCAGUGGUGAAAUCCUGGAGCUUAACUCCAGAACUGCCAUUGAUACUAUCUGUCUUGAAUAUUGUGGAGGUAAGCGGAAUAUGUCAUGUAGCGGUGAAAUGCUUAGAUAUGACAUAGAACACCUAUUGCGAAGGCAGCUUACUACGCAUAUAUUGACGCUGAGGCACGAAAGCGUGGGGAUCAAACAGGAUUAGAUACCCUGGUAGUCCACGCCCUAAACGAUGGAUACUCGACAUACGCGAUACACUGUGUGUGCCUGAGCG